RNAcentral lists this ribosomal RNA (419 nucleotides) under uncultured bacterium. RNAcentral's name for it is "bacterial SSU rRNA". It matches the Rfam family "Bacterial small subunit ribosomal RNA", at positions 954 to 1372 of the family's 1533-position model. The record is from RNAcentral.
GCAUAACGCGAAGAACCUUACCAAGGCUUGACAUCCUCUGACAGGUGUGGAAACACAUUUUCCCUUCGGGGCGAGAGAGACAGGUGGUGCAUGGUUGUCGUCAGCUCGUGUCGUGAGAUGUUCGGUUAAGUCCGGCAACGAGCGCAACCCUUAUGGACAGUUGCCAAUAUUAAGUUAGGAACUCUGUUCAGACUGCCGUGGAUAAACACGGAGGAAGGUGGGAUGGACGUCAAAUCAUCAUGCCCCUUACGCCUUGGGCUACACACGUGCUACAAUGGGCACUACAAAGAGCAGCAAGCUGGUGACAGUGAGCGAAUCUCAAAAAGGUGACUCUCAGUUCAGAUUGCAGGCUGCAACUCGCCUGCAUGAAGUCGGAAUCGCUAGUAAUGGCGCAUCAGCAACGGCGCCGUGAAUACGUU